UAACAAGGAUUCCCCUAGUAACUGCGAGUGAAGCGGGAAGAGCUCAAAUUUAAAAUCUGGCGGUUUCACCGUCCGAGUUGUAAUCUGGAGAAGCAUUUUCCGCGUUGGACCGUGUACAAGUCUCUUGGAAUAGAGCGUCAUAGAGGGUGAGAAUCCCGUCCAUGACACGGACUACCAGUGCUUUGUGAUAUGCUCUCAAAGAGUCGAGUUGUUUGGGAAUGCAGCUCAAAAUGGGUGGUAAAUUCCAUCUAAAGCUAAAUAUUGGCGAGAGACCGAUAGCGAACAAGUACCGUGAGGGAAAGAUGAAAAGCACUUUGGAAAGAGAGUUAAACAGUACGUGAAAUUGUUGAAAGGGAAACGCUUGAAGUCAGUCGCGUUGUCCGGGACUCAGCCUUGCUAUUUGCUUGGUGUAUUUCCUGGUUGACGGGUCAACAUCAAUUUUGGCUGGUGGAUAAAGGCUGAGAGAAGGUGGCAUCUUCGGAUGUGUUAUAGCUCUUGGUUGCAUACGCUGGCUGGGAUUGAGGUCUGCAGCACGCCUUUUUGGCCGGGGUUCGCCCACGUAACGUGCUUAGGAUGUUGGCAUAAUGGCUUUAAGCGACCCGUCUUGAAACACGGACCAAGGAGUCUAACAUGCCUGCGAGUAUUAGAGUGGAAAACUCUUGUGCGAAAUGAAAGUGAAAGUUGGGACUCUUUGCGGAGGCACCAACGCCCGGCCCUGAAGUUUACUGACGGUGCUGCGGUAGAGCAUGUAUGUUGGGACCCGAAAGAUGGUGAACUAUGCCUGAAUAGGGUGAAGCCAGGGGAAACUCUGGUGGAGGCUCGUAGCGAUUCUGACGUGCAAAUCGAUCGUCAAAUUUGGG
Molecule: ribosomal RNA, 860 nt
Filed under: Lyomyces crustosus
Lineage: Eukaryota; Fungi; Basidiomycota; Agaricomycetes; Hymenochaetales; Schizoporaceae
Description: partial large subunit ribosomal RNA
Rfam family: Eukaryotic large subunit ribosomal RNA
Source: RNAcentral